UACGUAGGGGGCCAGCGUUGUCCGGAUUCAUUGGGCGUAAAGCGCGUGUAGGCGGCCAGGUAGGUCCGAUGUGAAAUCUGGAGGCUCAACCUCCAGCGGUCAUUGGAAACCAUCUGGCUAGAGUCCGGAAGAGGAGAGUGGAAUUCCUGGUGUAGCGGUGAAAUGUGUAGAGAUCGGGAGGAACACCGGUGGCGAAGGCGGUCUUCUGGACGGUGACUGACGCUGAGGCGCGAAAGCGUGGGGAGCAAACGGG
RNAcentral lists this ribosomal RNA (253 nucleotides) under uncultured bacterium. Its description in RNAcentral is "partial 16S ribosomal RNA". It matches the Rfam family "Bacterial small subunit ribosomal RNA", at positions 524 to 776 of the family's 1533-position model. The record is from RNAcentral.